This 206-nucleotide ribosomal RNA is filed under the name uncultured bacterium. Its description in RNAcentral is "partial 16S ribosomal RNA". It matches the Rfam family "Bacterial small subunit ribosomal RNA", at positions 524 to 727 of the family's 1533-position model. The record is from RNAcentral.
CACGUAAGGGGCAAGCGUUGUCCGGAUUUAUUGGGCGUAAAGAGCUCGUAGGUGGUUCGGUAAGUCGGGUGUUAAACCCCCAGGCUCAACCUGGGGACGCCACUCGAUACUGCUGUGACUAGAGUCCGGUAGGGGAGCGUGGAAUUCCUGGUGUAGCGGUGAAAUGCGCAGAUAAUCAGGAGGAACACCGAUGGCGAAGGCAGGAU